This 554-nucleotide long non-coding RNA is filed under the name Malus domestica (apple). Its description in RNAcentral is "long non-coding RNA (MDOM_LNC015790)". The record is from RNAcentral. Lineage: Eukaryota; Viridiplantae; Streptophyta; Magnoliopsida; Rosales; Rosaceae.
AACUUUUGGACCGUUUCUUCAACAACCAAUACUUGUGAGUUCAUUCUCACUUAUUUUGAAUUCUUUCUUUUUUCUUCUCUUUUUUACAUUUUUUUUUUUGUUGGAAAUAACCUUCCCCGACACGUGUUUUUUGCAUAAUGUUUGAUCAAAAGGAAUUCCCUCUAAGUCAUGCUCCACUAUACUUUAAGAAUAAGGGUAUGGAUAGUCCUAUUCUAGGCUAGGUAAGGAUAAUGUGGCUAACAAAUAAAAUAGGCUAAAUAAGGCUCAAAGGGGUUAAACCUACAAAACAUAUGCAAGGGAUUAAGGCUUUUUGGCUUUGGUGGUAACUAAACAACUUCAUCUUGUUAUAUGUUAUGCACUCAAUUUUAAGCUUUGAAUGAAACGGGCAUGAGUUCUAGUAUUUGGAACUAAAAUGAUGAAAUAGCAUUCUAAGUAGCAACCAAGCAAAGAAAUAAUGAGAUCUUCCAACGACCUUAGAAAACAAAAACAUCACAGAUUAAUAAUUCUCCAAAUAAAGUUUAGGCGCAAGUCUCUCAGGAUUGUAGGGUUAGUUU